Molecule: long non-coding RNA, 763 nt
Organism: Cornus florida
Lineage: Eukaryota; Viridiplantae; Streptophyta; Magnoliopsida; Cornales; Cornaceae
Exons: 2
Source: RefSeq, a predicted model, not a curated record
AAACCACAACACAAACAUAUAUCUCAAAAGCCGGCCGCCCCUUUCUCGAUCUUGUUCACGAUUCGGAGUCUAUGGCCUCUGAAAUUCUUGAAAUCAAUGUAUACGGAGGCAGCAACGCAGGAGGAAGCUCCACCGCCGCCUGCUGCCGAGGAGAAGCUGCCGGAGAAAGAAGAAGAUAAGAAAGCAGAGCAAGGAGUUGAAAAGAAAGCACCGGAAGAGAAGUAAUAAGAUGAAAAGCCAGUGGAGGAAGCCAAAAAAGAGGGGAAACCGAAUGAGAAUCCAAAACAAGAGGAUUUGCCCCUUUCUCCAAGCCCUAACCCUUGCUCCCUCUCUCAUUCGAAGCCCUAACUCCUCCCUCCCAUUCGAAGGACACUUUGGCGUCAAAUCAAACCGUCUCUGCAUUUUCCGUCUAAUCAAGCGCCGUAGUCUCUGCAUUUUCCGUCGAAUUCCAUCUCCUUUCUCUCUGAUUCUUCUCUUGGGUUAAAGCCAGGAUAGCGGGAUUGCGAUUCCCAUUACUUUUUUUGUUGCCGUUAUAUUUUUUGUAUGGCUCAUGAUCAAGAAGUUGCAUAUAUGGAAGAGAGAGACUAAAACAGGGCAAGAAGAUAUGAAGAUUUUUUGUUUUAUUUUGGUUAUGUAAAGAGCUUGUAGAUAUUGUACUUCUUUGAAAUUUGUAUAUAUUUUUGUAUAAAAUCAUGAUUUGGAAUUGGUUAUAUAUAUAUAUAUAUAUAUAUAUAUAUAUAUAUAUAUAUGAUGUUAUUGGCCA